RNAcentral lists this ribosomal RNA (111 nucleotides) under Beauveria bassiana. RNAcentral's name for it is "partial 18S ribosomal RNA". It matches the Rfam family "Eukaryotic small subunit ribosomal RNA", at positions 1723 to 1831 of the family's 1831-position model. Lineage: Eukaryota; Fungi; Ascomycota; Sordariomycetes; Hypocreales; Cordycipitaceae. The record is from RNAcentral.
GGGAGGUGGGCAACUACCCCCCAGGGCCGGAAAGCUCUCCAAACUCGGUCAUUUAGAGGAAGUAAAAGUCGUAACAAGGUCUCCGUUGGUGAACCAGCGGAGGGAUCAUUA